UACAGAGGUGGCAAGCGUUGCUCGGUAUCACUGGGCUUAAAGGGCGCGUAGGCGGUGCGGUACGGUUUCGGUGAAAUCCCUCGGCCCAACCGAGGAACAGCCGGAGCUACGGCCGGACUAGACGGCAUCAGGGGACAGUGGAACUCCCGGUGGAGCGGUGAAAUGCGUAGAUAUCGGGAGGAACACCUAUAGCGAAGGCAGCUUGGUGGGACGUUACUGACGCUAAGGCGCGAAAGCGUGGGGAGCGAACAGG
This 253-nucleotide ribosomal RNA is filed under the name uncultured bacterium. RNAcentral's name for it is "partial 16S ribosomal RNA". It matches the Rfam family "Bacterial small subunit ribosomal RNA", at positions 524 to 776 of the family's 1533-position model. The record is from RNAcentral.